AUUGAACGCUGGCGGCAUGCCUUACACAUGCAAGUCGAACGGCAGCACGGGAGCAAUCCUGGUGGCGAGUGGCGAACGGGUGAGUAAUAUAUCGGAACGUGCCCAGUCGUGGGGAUAACGUAGCGAAAGCUACGCUAAUACCGCAUACGAUCUAUGGAUGAAAGCGGGGGAUCGCAAGACCUCGCGCGAUUGGAGCGGCCGAUAUCAGAUUAGGUAGUUGGUGAGGUAAAGGCUCACCAAGCCGACGAUCUGUAGCUGGUCUGAGAGGACGACCAGCCACACUGGGACUGAGACACGGCCCAGACUCCUACGGGAGGCAGCAGUGGGGAAUUUUGGACAAUGGGCGCAAGUCUGAUCCAGCAAUGCCGCGUGCAGGAUGAAGGCCUCGGUUGUAAACUGCUUUUGUACGGUAACGAAACGGUGAGCUCUAAUACA
This 435-nucleotide ribosomal RNA is filed under the name uncultured bacterium. RNAcentral's name for it is "bacterial SSU rRNA". It matches the Rfam family "Bacterial small subunit ribosomal RNA", at positions 30 to 467 of the family's 1533-position model. The record is from RNAcentral.